UAUACAUCAUAUAGUUGGAAUAUGCAAUGAAGUUGUUAGAUUCGACAAAACGAAUGAUUAGAGGAAUUGUGGGACGAAAUGUUUUCAAUCUGUUCUCAAAUUUUCAAUGAGUAUGACUGCUCAUUUGUUCGAUUGAAGCGUAGACAUUGAAUGUGUGCUCCACGUAGGCCAUUUUCGGUAAACAGAAGUGACGCUAGGGGAUGAGU
Molecule: non-coding RNA, 206 nt
Organism: Onchocerca flexuosa
Lineage: Eukaryota; Metazoa; Nematoda; Chromadorea; Rhabditida; Onchocercidae
Source: Rfam